GAUGAACGCUGGCGGCGUGCCUAAUACAUGCAAGUCGAGCGAACAGACGAGGAGCUUGCUCCUCUGACGUUAGCGGCGGACGGGUGAGUAACACGUGGAUAACCUACCUAUAAGACUGGGAUAACUUCGGGAAACCGGAGCUAAUACCGGAUCAUAUAUUGAACCGCAUGGUUCAAUAGUGAAAGACGGUUUUGCUGUCACUUAUAGAUGGAUCCGCGCCGCAUUAGCUAGUUGGUAAGGUAACGGCUUACCAAGGCGACGAUGCGUAGCCGACCUGAGAGGGUGAUCGGCCACACUGGAACUGAGACACGGUCCAGACUCCUACGGGAGGCAGCAGUAGGGAAUCUUGCGCAAUGGGCGAAAGCCUGACGGAGCAACGCCGCGUGAGUGAUGAAGGUCUUCGGAUCGUAAAACUCUGUUAUUAGGGAAGAACAAAUGUGUAAGUAACUAUGCACGUCUUGACGGUACCUAAUCAGAAAGCCACGGCUAACUACGUG
This 497-nucleotide ribosomal RNA is filed under the name uncultured bacterium. Its description in RNAcentral is "partial 16S ribosomal RNA". It matches the Rfam family "Bacterial small subunit ribosomal RNA", at positions 28 to 507 of the family's 1533-position model. The record is from RNAcentral.